This 429-nucleotide ribosomal RNA is filed under the name Aegires albopunctatus. RNAcentral's name for it is "partial 16S ribosomal RNA". It matches the Rfam family "Archaeal large subunit ribosomal RNA", at positions 1916 to 2667 of the family's 2987-position model. The record is from RNAcentral. Lineage: Eukaryota; Metazoa; Mollusca; Gastropoda; Nudibranchia; Aegiretidae.
AGCCUUAAGAAAAGAUUUAAGGUUUUACCUGCCCAGUGUGUAAUAAAUGGCCGCGGUACCCUGACCGUGCUAAGGUAGCGCAAUCAAUUGACUUUUAAAUGGAGUCAGGUAUGAAUGGAGUUACGGGGAUCAGCUGUCUUAAAUUUAAUUAGUCUAAGUUACUAUAUAGGUGAAAAAGCCUAUAUUUGAAGAGGGACGAGAAGACCCUUAGAGUUUUUAAUAAUAGAUUACAUUAUUCUGCAUUUUUAAUUGGGGCAAUUAGGGACCAGAAAACUUCCCGAUCAAUAUAAACCGAAAUUUUUAUAUAUGAGUAAACUACCUUAGGGAUAACAGCAUUAUUCUAUAAAAGAGUUUGUGACCUCGAUGUUGGACUAGGAAACCAAAGGGCUAGCCSWUCUUUGUAUAGGUUCUGUUCGAACUUUUACUCCU